GGUCCAGACUUUGAUUAUGGCUCAGGAUGAACGCUAGCUACAGGCUUAACACAUGCAAGUCGAGGGGCAGCAUGACGAUAGCUUGCUAUUGUUGAUGGCGACCGGCGCACGGGUGAGUAACGCGUAUCCAACCUGCCCUUGUCCAUCGGAUAACCCGUCGAAAGGCGGCCUGACACGAUAUGCAGUCCACAGAAGGCAUCUGACGCGGACGAAUGUGAAGGAGAAGGAUGGGGAUGCGUCUGAUUAGCUUGUUGGCGGGGUAACGGCCCACCAAGGCGACGAUCAGUAGGGGUUCUGAGAGGAAGGUCCCCCACAUUGGAACUGAGACACGGUCCAAACUCCUACGGGAGGCAGCAGUGAGGAAUAUUGGUCAAUGGGCGAGAGCCUGAACCAGCCAAGUAGCGUGCAGGAUGACGGCCCUAUGGGUUGUAAACUGCUUUUAUGCGGGGAUAAAGUGAGCCACGUGUGGCUUAUUGCAGGUACCGCAUGAAUAAGGACCGGCUAAUUCCGUGCCAGCAGCCGCGGUAAUACGGAAGGUCCGGGCGUUAUCCGGAUUUAUUGGGUUUAAAGGGAGCGUAGGCCGUCUGAUAAGCGUGUUGUGAAAUGUCGGGGCUCAACCUGGGCAUUGCAGCGCGAACUGUGAGACUUGAGUGCGCGGGAAGUAGGCGGAAUUCGUCGUGUAGCGGUGAAAUGCUUAGAUAUGACGAAGAACUCCGAUUGCGAAGGCAGCCUGCUGUAGCGCGACUGACGCUGAAGCUCGAAAGCGUGGGUAUCGAACAGGAUUAGAUACCCUGGUAGUCCACGCGGUAAACGAUGGAUGCUCGCUGUUUGCGUCUGACGUAAGCGGCCAAGCGAAAGCGUUAAGCAUCCCACCUGGGGAGUACGCCGGCAACGGUGCAACUCAAAGGAAUUGACGG
RNAcentral lists this ribosomal RNA (917 nucleotides) under uncultured Bacteroidota bacterium. RNAcentral's name for it is "bacterial SSU rRNA". It matches the Rfam family "Bacterial small subunit ribosomal RNA", at positions 1 to 916 of the family's 1533-position model. The record is from RNAcentral. Lineage: Bacteria; Pseudomonadati; Bacteroidota.